Bombina bombina (fire-bellied toad) is the source of this 71-nucleotide small nucleolar RNA. The record is from RefSeq and is a predicted model, not a curated record. Lineage: Eukaryota; Metazoa; Chordata; Amphibia; Anura; Bombinatoridae.
UGGAAGUGAUGUAACUUUCUACUCCUGACUAAAACUAGUGGAGGCAAAAACUGAUUUAAUGAGGCUGAUCC